This 698-nucleotide ribosomal RNA is filed under the name uncultured bacterium. Its description in RNAcentral is "bacterial SSU rRNA". It matches the Rfam family "Bacterial small subunit ribosomal RNA", at positions 813 to 1515 of the family's 1533-position model. The record is from RNAcentral.
CUACUAGUUGUCGGGUUUUAAUUAACUUGGUAACGCAGCUAACGCGUGAAGUAGACCGCCUGGGGAGUACGGUCGCAAGAUUAAAACUCAAAGGAAUUGACGGGGACCCGCACAAGCGGUGGAUGAUGUGGAUUAAUUCGAUGCAACGCGAAAAACCUUACCUACCCUUGACAUGUACGGAAGACCGAAGAGAUUUGGUUGUGCUCGAAAGAGAAACCGUAACACAGGUGCUGCAUGGCUGUCGUCAGCUCGUGUCGUGAGAUGUUGGGUUAAGUCCCGCAACGAGCGCAACCCUUGUCAUUAGUUGCUACGAAAGGGCACUCUAAUGAGACUGCCGGUGACAAACCGGAGGAAGGUGGGGAUGACGUCAAGUCCUCAUGGCCCUUAUGGGUAGGGCUUCACACGUCAUACAAUGGUACAUACAGAGGGCCGCCAACCCGCGAGGGGGAGCUAAUCCCAGAAAGUGUAUCGUAGUCCGGAUUGUAGUCUGCAACUCGACUACAUGAAGUUGGAAUCGCUAGUAAUCGCGGAUCAGCAUGUCGCGGUGAAUACGUUCUCGGGUCUUGUACACACCGCCCGUCACACCAUGGGAGCGGGUUUUACCAGAAGUAGGUAGCUUAACCGCAAGGAGGGCGCUUACCACGGUAGGAUUCGUGACUGGGGUGAAGUCGUAACAAGGUAGCCGUAUCGGAAGGUGC